Long non-coding RNA from Octopus sinensis (East Asian common octopus), 157 nucleotides. RefSeq lists it as uncharacterized. The transcript is spliced from 3 exons. The record is from RefSeq and is a predicted model, not a curated record. Lineage: Eukaryota; Metazoa; Mollusca; Cephalopoda; Octopoda; Octopodidae.
CACAACUGCUUAACUUCGCAAGCUAACCUGUCAUAUCUCUCGGCUUUUCUUUUUUCCUUAUCGCAUACCUUGUUGUCAACUGGGCAUGCUAUAUUUAUAAUCCAGCACAGUUGGUUUUCUUUCUCAAUUAAGACUAUGUCUGGCAUAACAGUUCACA